GGGCUACUCGGGCCACGCAGCUGGAACCUGGAAAUUAGGAUUGGAAUCCUGAACUCCUAAAUCCAAACUACAGACUGGAAGUUACCAAAAAAUGUCACAGUGGUUCCUUGAUCAGGUAGAAAGAUGACAGAGCCCAACAUACCAGAACCUAGAAAGGAGGCGAAGGAGGCGGUCUAGAGGGAAGAGCACUUUGGUCAAAGGAUCAGGUGCAUAAAUGCGGAGGAAUGAGGAUGCCCGGCUUGCUGGAGGAUCAAGGGAAGAUGGCCUGCAGGAGCCAAGAAGUCUGGAGCAGCCAAAAAAACACAAAAGAAGUGCAACAAAAGAAGCUCCUGCCUUGACUGAUUGACCAGCCUUACGACGUUCCACCAUUAUGAAUUGUUCCUGUCCUGCCCCAACUGAUCAAUCGACCUUGUGACAUUCUUCUUCUGGACAAUGAAUCUUAUGAUCUCCCCACCAUGGACCCUGUGACCCCCUCCUCUGCUGACAAUAGAUAACCACCUCUAACUGUAACAUUCCACUGCCUACCUCAGUCCUAUAAAGCUGCCCCUCUCCUA
RNAcentral lists this long non-coding RNA (554 nucleotides) under Homo sapiens (human). RNAcentral's name for it is "HSALNT0298118". Lineage: Eukaryota; Metazoa; Chordata; Mammalia; Primates; Hominidae. The record is from RNAcentral.